Long non-coding RNA from Zingiber officinale, 331 nucleotides. RefSeq lists it as uncharacterized. The record is from RefSeq and is a predicted model, not a curated record. The transcript has 2 exons. Lineage: Eukaryota; Viridiplantae; Streptophyta; Magnoliopsida; Zingiberales; Zingiberaceae.
ACCGUAUCUUCUCUUGGUAUUGUUCACUCAGAACUUUUUGUCUUGACAUAGAUGGUUGAAGCAGUAGGUCAUGAAUUCAUGGAUGAGUUUUUCAGCUGCUGUGAUUCAGUUCUGGCUGAAGAUGGCAUAUUUGUGCUCCAGUUCAGCAGUAUUCCCGAUCAACGCUACGAUGAAUACAGGAGAAGCUCUGACUUCCUCAAGGAGUACAUGUUUCGUGAGCUAUGUGUUCCUAGUUUGAGCAGAAUAACAACAGCUAUGAAUAUGAUGACUUCAUCUUAAUUCUGGUAACAAGUUUUUGUGUAUAUAGCGAUUUCCAUAUCCUUUUGGGUUU